This 481-nucleotide ribosomal RNA is filed under the name uncultured Campylobacterota bacterium. RNAcentral's name for it is "bacterial SSU rRNA". It matches the Rfam family "Bacterial small subunit ribosomal RNA", at positions 1 to 504 of the family's 1533-position model. Lineage: Bacteria; Pseudomonadati; Campylobacterota. The record is from RNAcentral.
UGGAGAGUUUGAUCCUGGCUCAGAGUGAACGCUGGCGGCGUGCCUAACACAUGCAAGUCGAACGAUGACGGAGGAGCUUGCUCUUCCUGAUUAGUGGCGCACGGGUGAGUAAUGCAUAGAUAAUGUGCCCCUUAGUUCGGGAUAGCCACUGGAAACGGUGAUUAAUACCGGAUACUCCUUCUUGUCUCAAGACAAGUCGGGAAAGUUUUUCGCUAAGGGAUCAGUCUAUGUUCCAUCAGCUAGUUGGUGAGGUAAUGGCUCACCAAGGCAAUGACGGAUAUCUGGUUUGAGAGGAUGAUCAGACACACUGGAACUGAGACACGGUCCAGACUCCUACGGGAGGCAGCAGUGAGGAAUAUUGCACAAUGGAGGAAACUCUGAUGCAGCAACGCCGCGUGGAGGAUGACGCAUUUCGGUGUGUAAACUCCUUUUAUUAGGGAAGAUUAUGACGGUACCUAAUGAAUAAGCUCCGGCUAACUCC